This 1167-nucleotide ribosomal RNA is filed under the name Triticum aestivum (bread wheat). RNAcentral's name for it is "partial small subunit ribosomal RNA". Lineage: Eukaryota; Viridiplantae; Streptophyta; Magnoliopsida; Poales; Poaceae. The record is from RNAcentral.
AUGGUUGACGACGGCGUUGAUCGAUCGAUGGACGAGAUGGUUUCGUUGACAAUGAAGCAGCUCGGCGACUCCACCGACACGACUGUCCGGCCUCAAAGCUGCGUUCUCGCGCUCCCGUCGCCCCCGGCUUUGGCGGGAGACAAGGAGGAAGAAGAGCCGGUUCUUGGGGGCGGAGAUCAGGCCGAUGACGGCGAGGAGGACGAGGAGUCUUACGACAGCGAUGACAGCUAUGACGAGGAUGAGAGUGACGACGAGGUCGAGGUGCCGAUCAAGAUUGACUCGCGCGUAGCAGCCGCGGCGAGCGGCGUCUGGGCCGGCCCGCCGCUACUGCGGGGGCAGUACGUGCCCGACGGCCGGUCCCUUGAGCCAACACUACAGUUUGCCUCCUCGGGGAACACGGCCGGCUUCUUGGGCGUCGCCGUCGUGGUGCCGCCCCCGGCUGAUCGCCCGGCCGCCAGCCAAGAACAAGGAGGAGGCAAGGACAAGGAGAUCUUGGUGCUCUACCGCUACACCGAGUUUGAGGCGGCACCCGACCUCGACGGCGUGGAGGUGUCCAAGAAAACGAUGCUGCACUAUCUCCAUUUCGUCGUCCCGCCGGCCGGUGACGUGGCGGGCUCGCUCCAGUGGGCUUGGUCGUCUCUGGCGUCGCUGAUAUACCCCGCCCGCCACAACAACAAGCUCCAGGAACUCUGGUCCGAACUGGUCACGAACAUGGCCGUGGGCAUCCCGCCGGGGACCACGCGUCUCGAGGUGAUAGCUGACGUCGGUAUCCUCCGGCUCGAGGACUACAGGUAUUGGCGCAUGUAUGCGGUGACGGACGCGCUACGGGGCAUAAAAGCGGAGCCAUGGCCCGGGUACCACGUCGGCAUGGAGCUGCGCCUGCCAGAGCCGGUGCACGUGCAGUGCGCGGACGAAGAUGAAGCCGUCGCCACCGACUGCGAGCGGCCGACGAAGCGGAGGAAGAUCGUCACGGAGGAGGGCGCCGCGCAGAAGUGCCCCGUCUGCUUGGAGCCGCUGGAGAGCGACGCCGCCUCGUGGCCCGGGUGCUCCUCGCCCCACGUCUUCCAUGGCACGUGCCUUGAGGGGACGCUCAAGGAGAGCGAGAAGUGCCCCAUCUGCAGGCGCAGGCCGUCGGCUCAGGAUGAAGAAGUCAGGGCUGAAGCCUAG